This 495-nucleotide ribosomal RNA is filed under the name uncultured bacterium. RNAcentral describes it as "partial 16S ribosomal RNA". It matches the Rfam family "Bacterial small subunit ribosomal RNA", at positions 28 to 507 of the family's 1533-position model. The record is from RNAcentral.
GACGAACGCUGGCGGCGUGCCUAAUACAUGCAAGUAGAACGCUGAAGGAGGAGCUUGCUUCUCUGGAUGAGUUGCGAACGGGUGAGUAACGCGUAGGUAACCUGCCUGGUAGCGGGGGAUAACUAUUGGAAACGAUAGCUAAUACCGCAUAAGAGUAGAUGUCGCAUGACAUUUGCUUAAAAGGUGCAAUUGCAUCACUACCAGAUGGACCUGCGUUGUAUUAGCUAGUUGGUGAGGUAACGGCUCACCAAGGCAACGAUACAUAGCCGACCUGAGAGGGUGAUCGGCCACACUGGGACUGAGACACGGCCCAGACUCCUACGGGAGGCAGCAGUAGGGAAUCUUCGGCAAUGGACGGAAGUCUGACCGAGCAACGCCGCGUGAGUGAAGAAGGUUUUCGGAUCGUAAAGCUCUGUUGUAAGAGAAGAACGGGUGUGAGAGUGGAAAGUUCACACUGUGACGGUAUCUUACCAGAAAGGGACGGCUAACUACGUG